Long non-coding RNA from Canis lupus familiaris (dog), 1224 nucleotides. RefSeq lists it as uncharacterized. Lineage: Eukaryota; Metazoa; Chordata; Mammalia; Carnivora; Canidae. The record is from RefSeq and is a predicted model, not a curated record. The transcript has 3 exons.
CAGAAUACCACAGAUUUGGCAGCUUAAAUAACAGAACAGUAUUUUCUCACAGUUAUAGAGACUAGGAGUCCAAGAUCCAGGUGCCAAACCAUCAUGUUUGAUUUCUGUUAAGACUUCUCUUCUCAGUAGGAGCAGCUUACACACAACUUAUGAGAGCCAUAUUGGACACCAAGGACCUUGUUCUCCAAGUAACAGGAAUCUGUGGUCUGAUCACUGAUUGCUACUUCUGACUGUGGAGGUUCACACAUACUGAGAACCAGACAUUUAAGGACCAGGAUAUUCAAACAACAGCAUAUAACAAGGAAAAAUAUAAACUCAGUAAAGACCUGAGAAGACCUUAAGUUUACACCUAAAGCUUACAUCCCUGGCAGAGAGACACCUGUCAACAACAAGCAAACCCUGGGAAAGCGGGAAAAUUGAAUCUCCAGAAUUACCACGUUAUAAGAUGCAAGUGUCCAGUUUUCAACAACAAGAACAACAAAAUCACAAGGCACACCAUAAAAAAGAGCAGUAUAAUCCAUUCAAGGGGAAAAAAUAAAUGAACAGAAACUAUCCCUGAGAAAUAUCAAAUGGUGGAUUUACUAGACAAACUAAAACGAUCUUCAAAAUACUUGAAGAGUUAAUAAAAGACAUGGACAAAGUCAAGAAAACAACAUGUGAAGAAAAUGAAAUAUCAAUAGAUAGAAAACAUAAAAAAGAAACCAAAAAGAAAUCCUGGAACUAAUAUUACAAUAGCUGAAAUUAAAAAUUUACUAGAGUGAUUCAGAGCAGAUUUGACAGAAGAAAACCAAUGAACUUGAAGAUAGGACAAUUGAAGUUAUUGAAUCUGAGGAAGAAAAAAAAAUGAAGAAAGUGAACACAGCCAAGGGACCUAUGCAACACCAUCAAGCUCAUGAACAUAUGCACUGUGGUAGUCCCAGAAAGCAAAGAGAGGAAAGAGGGACAGAGGGUUUAUCUGAACAAUAAACAACAACAACAAAAAAUUAUGAAAAACGUGAAUACAAACAUCCAAGAAGCAGAAUGAACUCCAAGUAAAAUAAACUCAAAGAGACCCACAGGAAGGUGCAUUAUGAUCAGACUUUCAAGAGCAAAAGACAAAGAGAGGAUCUUGAAAGCAGCAAUAAAGAAGUGACUCAUCACAUACAAAGGAUCCCUAGUAAUAUUAUCAGCAGAUUUCUCAUCAGAAAUCUUGGAGGCCAGGAGACAGUGAGUUGAUAAAUUCAA